AUUGUUAUUAGCGUGGGCCAGGGAGGGCUGCGUAAAAGCAGCUGGUGGAGGAGGGAGAGAUGCCGUGUGACCGUCUGGGUUCGCAUGCAUGAAGUAUUAUCUGGGCCUGGAGUGUGCAAGGCACACAUGUGUCCUUACUGCAUGUGUUGUCACAUAUGUGCAAUGCCAUGCUCCUGAGCCUUUGAUUGCAGACGUGUGGGAAGUGGGCCCCGUCCCCACCCCCAGUGCCACCCUGCUCUGCUUCUCUUCCCUUGCUGUGCUCUAAAACGAGAAGUACAAGUGAGUUCCCCCAAGGGGUCGGCCGCGCCUCUUCCUGUCCCCGCCCUGCCGGCUGCCCCAGGCCAGUGGAGUGGCAGCCCCAGAACUGGGACCACCGGGGGUGGUGAGGCGGCCUGGCACUGGGAGCUGCAUCUGAGGCUUAGUCCCUGAGUUCUCUGCCUGCCCAGACUAGCUGCACCUCCUCAUUCCCUGCGCCCCCUUCCUCUCCGGAAGCCCCCAGGAUGGUGAGGUGGUUUCACCGAGACCUCAGUGGGCUGGAUGCAGAGACCCUGCUCAAGGGCCGAGGUGUCCACGGUAGCUUCCUGGCUCGGCCCAGUCGCAAGAACCAGGGUGACUUCUCGCUCUCCGUCAGGGUGGGGGAUCAGGUGACCCAUAUUCGGAUCCAGAACUCAGGGGAUUUCUAUGACCUGUAUGGAGGGGAGAAGUUCGCGACUCUGACAGAGCUGGUGGAGUACUACACUCAGCAGCAGGGCGUCCUGCAGGACCGCGACGGCACCAUCAUCCACCUCAAGUACCCGCUGAACUGCUCCGAUCCCACUAGUGAGAGGUGGUACCAUGGCCACAUGUCUGGCGGGCAGGCAGAGACGCUGCUGCAGGCCAAGGGCGAGCCCUGGACGUUUCUUGUGCGUGAGAGCCUCAGCCAGCCUGGAGACUUCGUGCUGUCUGUGCUCAGUGACCAGCCCAAGGCUGGCCCAGGCUCCCCGCUCAGGGUCACCCACAUCAAGGUCAUGUGCGAGGGUGGACGCUACACAGUGGGUGGUUUGGAGACCUUCGACAGCCUCACGGACCUGGUGGAGCAUUUCAAGAAGACGGGGAUUGAGGAGGCCUCAGGCGCCUUUGUCUACCUGCGGCAGCCGUACUACGCCACGAGGGUGAAUGCGGCUGACAUUGAGAACCGAGUAUUGGAACUGAACAAGAAGCAGGAGUCCGAGGAUACAGCCAAGGCUGGCUUCUGGGAGGAGUUUGAGAGUUUGCAGAAGCAGGAGGUGAAGAACUUGCACCAGCGUCUGGAAGGGCAGCGGCCAGAGAACAAGGGCAAGAACCGCUACAAGAACAUUCUCCCCUUUGACCACAGCCGAGUGAUCCUGCAGGGACGGGACAGUAACAUCCCCGGGUCCGACUAUAUCAAUGCCAACUACAUCAAGAACCAGCUGCUAGGCCCUGAUGAGAACGCUAAGACCUACAUCGCCAGCCAGGGCUGUCUGGAGGCCACGGUCAAUGACUUCUGGCAGAUGGCGUGGCAGGAGAACAGCCGUGUCAUCGUCAUGACCACCCGAGAGGUGGAGAAAGGCCGGAACAAAUGCGUCCCAUACUGGCCCGAGGUGGGCAUGCAGCGUGCUUAUGGGCCCUACUCUGUGACCAACUGCGGGGAGCAUGACACAACCGAAUACAAACUCCGUACCUUACAGGUCUCCCCGCUGGACAAUGGAGACCUGAUUCGGGAGAUCUGGCAUUACCAGUACCUGAGCUGGCCCGACCAUGGGGUCCCCAGUGAGCCUGGGGGUGUCCUCAGCUUCCUGGACCAGAUCAACCAGCGGCAGGAAAGUCUGCCUCACGCAGGGCCCAUCAUCGUGCACUGCAGCGCCGGCAUCGGCCGCACAGGCACCAUCAUUGUCAUCGACAUGCUCAUGGAGAACAUCUCCACCAAGGGCCUGGACUGUGACAUUGACAUCCAGAAGACCAUCCAGAUGGUGCGGGCGCAGCGCUCGGGCAUGGUGCAGACGGAGGCGCAGUACAAGUUCAUCUACGUGGCCAUCGCCCAGUUCAUUGAAACCACUAAGAAGAAGCUGGAGGUCCUGCAGUCACAGAAGGGCCAGGAGUCGGAGUACGGGAACAUCACCUACCCCCCAGCCAUGAAGAAUGCCCAUGCCAAGGCCUCCCGCACCUCGUCCAAGUGAGUGGCCCUGACUGCCACCGCCCGGCAUCCACCCCUUUGUCCUGCCCAGCCCGAUCCUCACUUUCUGGAGAGGACAAGUGUUGCAGCUGGGGGGACCUGGCUUCAAGUUCAGGAGCUUGGAGUCUAGUGCAGGGACCGUGGCUGGGUCACCUGUGAGAUGGGGUGGCCAGAGGGGACUGCCAGUGCCGGGUCCCCCUGUGCUGUCUCCUGACCUGCACCAACUGCCUGUACUUGCCCCCCUGCACCCGGCUGCAGACACAAGGAGGAUGUGUAUGAGAACCUGCACACUAAGAACAAGAGGGAGGAGAAAGUGAAGAAGCAGCGGUCAGCAGACAAGGAGAAGAGCAAGGGUUCCCUCAAGAGGAAGUGAGCGGUGCUGUCCUCAGGUGGCCACGCCUCAGCCCUGACCCUGUGGAAGCAUUCUGCGAUGGACAGACUCACAACCUGAACCUAGGAGCGCCCCAUUCUUUUGUAAUUUAAAUGGCUGCAUACCCCCCACCUCUCCCUGACCCUGUAUAUAGCCCAGCCAGGCCCCAGGCAGGGCCAACCCUUCUCCUCUUGUAAAUAAAGCCCUGGGAUCACUGUG
Molecule: RNA transcript, 2762 nt
Organism: Pan troglodytes (chimpanzee)
Lineage: Eukaryota; Metazoa; Chordata; Mammalia; Primates; Hominidae
Gene: PTPN6
Gene name: protein tyrosine phosphatase non-receptor type 6
Exons: 16
Source: RefSeq, a predicted model, not a curated record